AUUGAUUUUUUAUUUACGUAAGG
This 23-nucleotide small nuclear RNA is filed under the name Arabidopsis thaliana (thale cress). RNAcentral describes it as "snRNA_19302". Lineage: Eukaryota; Viridiplantae; Streptophyta; Magnoliopsida; Brassicales; Brassicaceae. The record is from RNAcentral.